This 443-nucleotide unclassified non-coding RNA is filed under the name Hevea brasiliensis (rubber tree). Lineage: Eukaryota; Viridiplantae; Streptophyta; Magnoliopsida; Malpighiales; Euphorbiaceae. The record is from RNAcentral.
GCAAUUUUAUCCAAAUUGCCAAAGGUUGUUGCAAUUCUAUGUAAUUGUUUUCCAAGCAGAUUCUUUAACUCUGUUUUCCGACUGAUUCACAGCCACCUAUGUUGAUCCAACCCAACUAACUACUACUACCUAUCAAGUCUCAUUUUAAUAUCCAUGGUGCAUCAAAUUCUUAACCAUUCGGCCAAAUCAGGUGGUUUUGUUGAUUGGUUCGCCCACUCUCUCUUCUUACCACCACCAAAUCGUGUCGCCAUUGAUGCCCCACAGGUAUCAAAAUGAAAUUUCAGAGAUGUUGGUAGCAGUGGUAAGAUUGGAUCAUUAUUGGUGGCCAUAGAUAAAUGGGAAAAUGGAGUUGAAAAUUUGAUUGGCAAAAAUUAGAUAGAAUUGCAACAACCUUGGCAAUUUGGAUAAAUUAUCAAAAUUGAAAACCACGAAAAAGUUUGGCG